This 2084-nucleotide long non-coding RNA is filed under the name Piliocolobus tephrosceles (Ugandan red Colobus). RNAcentral's name for it is "lncRNA (ENSPTEG00000014920.1)". The record is from RNAcentral. Lineage: Eukaryota; Metazoa; Chordata; Mammalia; Primates; Cercopithecidae.
AGUAUAGCUAUUACAACAACUAGUACUACUUCUACUACUGCUACUACUGAUGACUCAAAUCGUAACAACAUUUUUUAUGAAAUCAGUCACGAACCCAUUGUCGAUGAUAACUCGCUUAGUAAUGGUUCCCUUAUGCAUCAUCAAAAACACGAGCAUUUGUCUUAUAGUCAUAGAAAAAUAAAAAACAAACAUUAUGAUCAAACACAUUCAUCUAUAAACAUUGAAAGCUCAAACUGUGAUAAUAAUAUUUUACCCAUACAUAAAAUUAUUAGUAAUAGUAGUAGUAGUAGUAGUAGUAAUAUGUAUAAUAAGAAAUUAAUGGGUGACAUUAUUAGUAAUAACAAUUGCAAGAGUUAUGACAGUUAUCGUAAUAAUAUUACUUAUGUUUGUGCCAGUUCGAAUCAUGGCUAUGAUAGUAACAAUAGCAGCAUUAUCUGUAGUAACGAUAGUACUAUUCCCUGCAGUAGCAAUAGUAUUUUUUUUUGUAGUAACAGUAGUAAUAAUCAUAAUAAUAGUAACAGUAGUAAUAAUCAUAAUAAUAGUAACAGUAGUAAUAAUCAUAAUAAUAGUAACAGUAGUAAUAAUCAUAAUAAUAGUAACAGUGGUAAUAAUAAUAAUAGUAACAGUAGUAAUAAUAAUAAUAAUAAUAUAAGCUAUAGAAGUAAUAGCAACGUCUACUGCAGUAAAUCUCGCCCACCAAAUUUAGACCAGUUUAAAAUUUAUAAAGAAUUAGAUGAAAAAGCAAAUAUGAUGAACAUAUAUAAAAAAUUUCAAGUAUUAUCCUUAUUAAGAGAAAAUUUAUUUGAUUUUUAUAAAAAUUGGAAUGACAUAAGUUUAUUAUUUAAUCAUUUAAGUAGCAUUGAUUAUUCUUUUCGUGGCAUUGACUGCUCUAACUAUUUUAUGAGAAAAUCUUCUGUGAAGUUUAAUGAUGAUAUUACUUAUAGAUUUAUAAACGAGCACUUUUUAUUAACAUAUAGGUAUUAUAUAAUUUGUAAUAAUAGUGGUAAUAGUGGUAGUAGUGCUAAAGGUAAAGAGAAUGGUGUUGGAUCACAAAACUUGUGCAUAUCUGAGGACUUAAAAAACGGUCAUAAAAUAAAAAACAGUUUCAACGACAAUUUAUCAUUAUUACAGACGAACAUGAGAAAUAAAACAGAACAGCACCAGCACCAGCACCAGCAGCAACUACAAAAACAAAAACAACAACAACAACAACAACAACAGCAGCAACAGCAGCAGGUGGAAUAUAUCAAACAACAAACCAAUAUCAUGAACAACUUUUAUACUUUUAAAACAGACUCUAUGUAUAAAUACUAUCACCACUUUGGCAUCAUACGAAAAAAAUUAUAUUAUAGGUACAUAAUGAUUGUAAUUAAAAAAGCUGAUAAUCGUUUGGGUAACGGGUCUAGUUAUAUGGAUACCAAUGGUAAUAAUGAUAUUAUGAUUAAUGGACACGAUACCAGUUGUAAUAAUAGUGACUAUGAUAGUUUUUGGAAUCGUAUCGAUGGUAAAAGUGAUGGUAAAAGUGAUGGUAAAAGUGAUGAUAAAAGUGAUGGUAAAAGUGAUGGUAAUAGCGACUAUGACAGUGACAGGAAAAGCGACGAUAAAAGUUACGAAAGAAGCGAAAUAACGUGCUACGAAAAUAGCUACGGUUGUAUAAACCGUAGUGAUAACUUUAGUAAUAGUAACAAUAGUAAUAACGAAAAUAGCGCUAUUACGAAAUAUACAUUUUUUUUAAGUGGUAAUUACGAACUGUUUUUUAGUUUGUUCCCAUGUUAUAUAUUAUUUAUGAUAGAAUAUUGGAAUAUUAUUUAUGAGAAACAAAAUAAUAAGAUAAAUAAUUGUAUAAGUCGAAAUGAUGAAAUAAAUGAAGUAUAUGAUGAACUGUACUUAAAUAAGUUUUGUGAAUCACUUGAUCACUUUAAACCUAAUGUUUUGAACAGUAAUAAAAGACAGGAACAUGUAAAGGAGGUUAUUGCAUUUAUUGAAACAUUUAUUACUCCUAAAUUUAUUGCUCUUUUUUUCCCUUCUUAUUUACAAUAUUUAAAAAAUGGUACUAAACAAAAACUAAAUGUUAAAAACUUAAU